AGGAAGAUAUAUUAAACGAGCGUGGUGAAGACCAAUAUGGUUUGUAGAAAACCUCACCGCGGGUCCAGGCCUUUGCAGGGUGACACGAAGCACCCAGUGUGGUGGUAGCAGACACAGUCACUCCCAGAACCGAGUAGGUGGGCUCCAGUUCAUGUGGGAAAGCUGCAAGGCGCGAGGCACGACCACCUGGAGGUAGUCAUCCCGGUGGACUGUCCUACACCAGCUCGGCUCACACUGGAAGGCUGUGGUUGUGGUCGCCGGACAACGGGGAAGGCAAUGAGGACAAUCUCUGGAUACUGAAGAACAUUUAUAACGUAGACAUAGUGGCAUGACAUUGUCCGUCACCACGUGAAGUGUCAUUUGUCAGACCACCUUUUGAUAUAUUUUUUUUCUGCCAGAAAAUGGCCUGGUUUACUGAAUUGUAUAGUUAUAAAACAUUAAAAUUUUUAAAAAU
Non-coding RNA from Procambarus clarkii (red swamp crayfish), 454 nucleotides. The record is from RefSeq and is a predicted model, not a curated record. Lineage: Eukaryota; Metazoa; Arthropoda; Malacostraca; Decapoda; Cambaridae.